CCAAGGAAGGCAGCAGGCGCGCAAAUUACCCACUCCCGGAACGGGGAGGUAGUGACGAAAAAUAACAAUACGGGACUCUUUUGAGACCCCGUAAUUGGAAUGAGUACACUCCAAAUCCUUUAACGAGUACCCAUUGGAGGACAAGUCUGGUGCCAGCACCCGCGGUAACUCCAGCUCCAAUAGCGUAUAUUAAAGUUGUUGCGGUUAAAAAGCUCGUAGUUGGAUCUCAGUGCGAGACGGACGGUCCGCCUACCGGUGGUCACUGUCCGGUUUCCACACCAGCCGGUUUCCCUGGAUGAUCUUCACCGGUUGUCUUGGGUGACCGGCAAGUUUACUUUGAAAAAAUUAGAGUGCUCAAAGCAGGCGCGACGCCUGGAUAAUGGUGCAUGGAAUAAUGGAAUAGGACCUCGGUUCUAUUUUGUUGGUUUUAGGAACACGAGGUAAUGAUUAAGAGGGACAGACGGGGGCAUUCGUAUUGCGACGCUAGAGGUGAAAUUCUUGGACCGCCGCACGACGAACUACUGCGAAAGCAUUUGCCAAGAAUGUUUCCAUUAAUCAAGAACGAAAGUUAGAGGUCCGAAGGCGAUCAGAUACCGCCCUAGUUCUAACCAUAAACGAUGCCAGCCAGCGAUCCGGCUGUGUUCCUCAAAUGACACGCCGGGCAGCUUCCGGGAAACCAAAGCUUUUGGGUUCCGGGGGGAGUAUGGUUGCAAAGCUUAAACUUGAAGGAAUUGACGGAAGCGCACACAAGGAAUGGGGCCUGCGGUUUAAUUUGACUCAACACGGUGCAACUCUCCUGGCCCGGACACAGGAAGGAUUGACAGAU
Molecule: ribosomal RNA, 826 nt
Filed under: Leucauge decorata
Lineage: Eukaryota; Metazoa; Arthropoda; Arachnida; Araneae; Tetragnathidae
Description: SSU rRNA
Rfam family: Eukaryotic small subunit ribosomal RNA
Source: RNAcentral